GAUGAACGCUGACAGAAUGCUUAACACAUGCAAGUCUACUUGAAUUUGGGUUUUUAACUUAGAUUUGGGUGGCGGACGGGUGAGUAACGCGUAAAGAACUUGCCUCACAGCUAGGGACAACAUUUAGAAAUGAAUGCUAAUACCUAAUAUUAUGAUAAUAGGGCAUCCUAUAAUUAUGAAAGCUAUAUGCGCUGUGAGAGAGCUUUGCGUCCCAUUAGCUAGUUGGAGAGGUAACAGCUCACCAAGGCGAUGAUGGGUAGCCGGCCUGAGAGGGUGAUCGGCCACAAGGGGACUGAGACACGGCCCUUACUCCUACGGGAGGCAGCAGUGGGGAAUAAUGUUCAAUGGACCGAGAAACCGUUCCAGCACUACUCUGUGGGAAUAAAAUAUUUUUGAAAGAAAAAGC
This 406-nucleotide ribosomal RNA is filed under the name uncultured Fusobacterium sp. RNAcentral's name for it is "bacterial SSU rRNA". It matches the Rfam family "Bacterial small subunit ribosomal RNA", at positions 28 to 431 of the family's 1533-position model. Lineage: Bacteria; Fusobacteriati; Fusobacteriota; Fusobacteriia; Fusobacteriales; Fusobacteriaceae. The record is from RNAcentral.